GAAACAUCUAAGUACCCCGAGGAAAAGAAAUCAACCGAGAUUCCCCCAGUAGCGGCGAGCGAACGGGGAGGAGCCCAGAACCUGAAUCGGCUUGUGUGUUAGUGGAAGCGUCUGGAAAGUCGCGCAGCAAAGGGUGAUAGCCCCGUACACUAAAAUGCACAGGUCGUGAGUUCGAUGAGUAGGGCGGGACACGUGACAUCCUGUCUGAAUAUGGGGGGACCAUCCUCCAAGGCUAAAUACUCCUGACUGACCGAU
Molecule: ribosomal RNA, 255 nt
Filed under: Serratia marcescens
Lineage: Bacteria; Pseudomonadati; Pseudomonadota; Gammaproteobacteria; Enterobacterales; Yersiniaceae
Also listed under: 1 other name
Description: partial 23S ribosomal RNA
Rfam family: Bacterial large subunit ribosomal RNA
Source: RNAcentral